This 468-nucleotide ribosomal RNA is filed under the name uncultured bacterium. RNAcentral describes it as "partial 16S ribosomal RNA". It matches the Rfam family "Bacterial small subunit ribosomal RNA", at positions 28 to 507 of the family's 1533-position model. The record is from RNAcentral.
GACGAACGCUGGCGGCGUGCUUAACACAUGCAAGUCGAACGGAAAGGCCCUGCUUUUGUGGGGUGCUCGAGUGGCGAACGGGUGAGUAACACGUGAGUAACCUGCCCUUGACUUUGGGAUAACUUCAGGAAACUGGGGCUAAUACCGGAUAGGAGCUCCUGCUGCAUGGUGGGGGUUGGAAAGUUUCGGCGGUUGGGGAUGGACUCGCGGCUUAUCAGCUUGUUGGUGGGGUAGUGGCUUACCAAGGCUUUGACGGGUAGCCGGCCUGAGAGGGUGACCGGCCACAUUGGGACUGAGGUACGGCCCAGACGCCUACGGGAGGCAGCAGUGGGGAAUAUUGCACAAUGGGCGGAAGCCUGAUGCAGCAACGCCGCGUGCGGGAUGACGGCCUGCGGGUUGUAAACCGCUUUCGCCUGUGACGAAGCGUGAGUGACGGUAAUGGGUAAAGAAGCACCGGCUAACUACGUG